GAGGUUGUGGCUCAGUGGUAGAGUGCUUGCCUAGCCUGCAUGAGGCACUGGGUUUAGUCCUCAGCACCACA
RNAcentral lists this transfer RNA (71 nucleotides) under Marmota monax (woodchuck). Its description in RNAcentral is "tRNA.Ala". Lineage: Eukaryota; Metazoa; Chordata; Mammalia; Rodentia; Sciuridae. The record is from RNAcentral.